AAUGGACGAAAGUCUGAUGCAGCGACACCGCGUGAAGGAUGAAGGCCCUAGGGUUGUAAACUUCUUUUAUUAGGGAAUAGCAAGGAAGGUACCUAAUGAAUAAGCAACGGCUAACUACGUGCCAGCAGCCGCGGUAAUACGUAGGUUGCAAACGUUGUCCGGAAUCACUGGGCGUAAAGGGUCCGUAGGCGGUUUGAUAAGUCUCAUAUGAAAGCUUCAAGCUCAACUUGGAGAUGUUGUGAGAUACUGUCAGACUAGAGACUGUUAGAGGUAAGUGGAAUUCCAGGUGUAGUGGUGAAAUGCGUAGAUAUCUGGAGGAACACCAGUGGCGAAAGCGACUUACUGGGACAGUUCUGACGCUAAGGGACGAAAGCGUGGGGAGCGAACCGGAUU
RNAcentral lists this ribosomal RNA (393 nucleotides) under uncultured Chloroflexota bacterium. Its description in RNAcentral is "bacterial SSU rRNA". It matches the Rfam family "Bacterial small subunit ribosomal RNA", at positions 370 to 779 of the family's 1533-position model. Lineage: Bacteria; Bacillati; Chloroflexota. The record is from RNAcentral.